UCUCCGUUGGUGAACCAGCGGAGGGAUCAUUACCGAGUGCGAACUCAUAACCCUUUGUGAACCUAUAUCUGUUGCUUCGGCGGCUCGCUCUCGGGCGAGCCCGCCGGUAAUAUCAGUAUCUCUGUUUGAACCCGACGAUACUUCUGAGUGUUCUUAGCGAACAGUUAAAACUUUUAACAACGGAUCUCUUGGCUCUA
This 197-nucleotide unclassified non-coding RNA is filed under the name plant metagenome. Its description in RNAcentral is "partial contains small subunit ribosomal RNA, internal transcribed spacer 1, and 5.8S ribosomal RNA". The record is from RNAcentral.